UUUUUUGUUUUCCCUUUUUCUUUGUUAUAUGUUCGCUUGUUUAUUUCUUUACCUUUUAAUUUAUUUAUUUCUUUUUACAGUUUUCAUCAUUAUGAUUAUUAUUUUUAUGUUUCUUCCUUGCUUUUACUGGUUUUUCUUUUCGUUUUUUUUUCGUUGUUUCUUUCUCAGUUUGCAGUGGCUUGUUUUCUUCUUUCUUUCUUUUCAUCGCUUUCCCUUUUUGUUUUGAUUUGCUGUUCAUUUUGGUUUUUCU
Molecule: long non-coding RNA, 250 nt
Filed under: Hordeum vulgare
Lineage: Eukaryota; Viridiplantae; Streptophyta; Magnoliopsida; Poales; Poaceae
Description: long non-coding RNA (HVUL_LNC004475)
Source: RNAcentral